UACGGAGGGUGCAAGCGUUAUCCGGAUUCACUGGGUUUAAAGGGUGCGUAGGUGGGCAGGUAAGUCAGUGGUGAAAUCUCCGGGCUUAACUCGGAAACUGCCAUUGAUACUAUCUUUCUUGAAUACCGUGGAGGUCAGCGGAAUAUGUCAUGUAGCGGUGAAAUGCUUAGAUAUGACAUAGAGCACCAAUUGCGAAGGCAGCUGGCUACACGAAUAUUGACACUGAUGCACGAAAGCGUGGGGAUCAAACAGG
This 253-nucleotide ribosomal RNA is filed under the name uncultured bacterium. RNAcentral's name for it is "partial 16S ribosomal RNA". It matches the Rfam family "Bacterial small subunit ribosomal RNA", at positions 524 to 776 of the family's 1533-position model. The record is from RNAcentral.